RNAcentral lists this ribosomal RNA (449 nucleotides) under uncultured marine eukaryote. RNAcentral's name for it is "SSU rRNA". It matches the Rfam family "Eukaryotic small subunit ribosomal RNA", at positions 605 to 1062 of the family's 1831-position model. The record is from RNAcentral.
UAAAGUUGUUGCAGUUAAAAAGCUCGUAGUUGGAGUUCAGAGUGAGCUCAGCCGGUCGGCCUAAUGGGUCAGAACUGGUUGACUCUCUCUUGUUUGUGGAUCCCUCCGGAGUUAACUCUUCGGAUGUGGAGUCCACAUCGUUUACCUUGAAAAAAUUAGAGUGUUCAAAGCAGGCGUUUGCUUGAAUAUAUUAGCAUGGAAUAAUGGAAUAGGACGCUGGUUCUAUUUUGUUGGUUUUGAGAACCAGAGUAAUGAUUAAUAGGGACAGUUGGGGGCAUUCAUAUUUCAUUGUCAGAGGUGAAAUUCUUGGAUUUAUGAAAGAUGAACUUCUGCGAAAGCAUUUGCCAAGGAUGUUUUCAUUAAUCAAGAACGAAAGUUAGGGGAUCGAAGACGAUCAGAUACCGUCGUAGUCUUAACCAUAAACUAUGCCGACUAGGGAUUGGGCGUGG